RNAcentral lists this ribosomal RNA (665 nucleotides) under uncultured fungus. RNAcentral's name for it is "eukaryotic LSU rRNA". It matches the Rfam family "Eukaryotic large subunit ribosomal RNA", at positions 24 to 664 of the family's 3401-position model. The record is from RNAcentral. Lineage: Eukaryota; Fungi.
CCCGCUGAACUUAAGCAUAUCAAUAAGCGGAGGAAAAGAAACUAACAAGGAUUCCCCUAGUAACUGCGAGUGAAGCGGGAAAAGCUCAAAUUUAAAAUCUGGUGGUCUUUGGCCAUCCGAGUUGUAAUUUAGAGAAGCGUCUUCCGCGCUGGGCCGUGCACAAGUCUCCUGGAAUGGAGCCUCACAGAGGGUGAGAAUCCCGUCUUUGGCAUGGACACACCAGGGCUUUUGUGAUGCGCUCUCGAAGAGUCGAGUUGUUUGGGAAUGCAGCUCAAAAUGGGUGGUGAACUCCAUCUAAAGCUAAAUAUUGGCGAGAGACCGAUAGCGAACAAGUACCGUGAGGGAAAGAUGAAAAGCACUUUGGAAAGAGAGUGAAACAGUACGUGAAAUUGUUGAAAGGGAAACGUUUGAAGUCAGUCGCGUCGGCCGAGACUCAGCCUUGCUUCCGCUCGGUGCACUUCUCGGUUGACGGGUCAGCAUCAAUUUCGACCGCCGGAUAAAGGUUGAGGGAACGUGACAUCUUUCGAGGUGUGUUAUAGCCCUCGAUUCGCAUACGGCGAUUGGGAUUGAGGAACUCAGCGCGCCUUUAUGGUCGGGGUAGCAACCCACGUAACGCGCUCAGGAUGCUGGCAUAAUGGCUUUAAGCGACCCGUCUUGAAACACGG